CCUCCCCCUCCCCUUGUCUGCUCUCUGUGUCCAUUCGCUGUGUGUGCUUCUGUGUCCGCUUGUGUUCUCAUCUGGCGGCACUGGGGAUCUGUGUCUCUUUUUGUUGCGUCAUCUUGCUGCACGUGUGUGGCACCGCUCCUGGGCAGGCUGUGGUUUCACGGAGGGCAGCUCUCCUUGCGCAGGAGCCACUUGUGUGUGUGUGGGAGGCGGAAUGGAACACCCUUACGUGGGGACAUCCCUGCAUGGGCCAGUACUCCUUGCACGCAGCAGCCUGCGCAUGGGCCUGCUCACCACACGAGCCAGGAGGCCCUGGGUAUGAACCCUUGGACCUCUCUGUGGUAGGCGGAUGCUCUGUCUGGUGAGCCACAUCCGCUUCCCUAAAGGAGCACUUAGCCUGUGCAGGGCGUUCCCGGGCAGCCGACAGAGUGGGAAAGGUGUUAUUUUUCUUUCCUUUCUUCACUUAUUCACGGGAGUAUUUACCGGACUCCUUCUGGACAUUUAGACUCUCUGGGGAUGGGACAGAGAGGAAAAUUCUUAAUGGAUUAUAUCAGCAUAGUGAUAGAACGGGCCGCAGGACAUUCUCCUGAAACCUUUGUGGCCUUUCGCAAUGAAAAGUUUAGAUAACGGAUGGUGGUGAUGAUAGAACAACAUUGUGAAACUGGUUCCCCACUUCCUUUUCUUCUCGAACCCCACGGCUUGAUACCAGUGAUGGUCACUGUCAGCUAUUCAUCGGGAACAAGAAACAACCCAGCCAAGGCGGUGACCAGUCUCAGGGCCCCACCUGUGCAGGGGCAGGUCUCCUGCCAGCACACCUGGCUCGCCUCCCCUGCCUGCUCCGCACCUGGCAGAGACGCAGCAUCAUUGUCCACCAGAAUCUGGGGGGCGUGUGGGGGACAGGCUCCGUCCUCCUGGCCGCAGCCAUGGGGGAGGCCGUGGGCUGCCCCCCUGUUCGCUGGGGCUGGGGUGCGUGGCCUCCAGGGACCCCCAGGCCGCUCAGGCACAGGGGCUGGGGGCGCUGCUGAGGCUCUUUGUGUAGCCCGGGACAGGGUAGUGGCUGGAGGACAAAGACACACCUAGAAACUUCCCCAGGGGCCUCCACCACCUCCGCAGACCCAGCACAAGCUCCAAAAGGGUGAGGCAGAGACAGAGCCCGCUGACCCCAAACAUGGCCUGCAGGAAGAGGGACUUCUCUGAGGGGCGGGGGAGCACGCAGUCCACCAUGUGGGGGCAGGGGAAUCUACUGCACCGGAAGAUGAGCGGCACGUGGAACCCGUAGAGGUGGUACUGCCCCGCCAGGGUGGCCCCCUCCAGGACCACCCGAACCCCCAGCUGUGCCACAUAGGCCCAGAGCAGCCUGCGGCCCCUGGACCCGGCAGCCGCUCGGCCACCAUCCCCCUCGACGGCCAGCGUGUCCUCCUCCUUCGCCUUUUCCAGUUCCUCCCAGUGCCAGAGCACGUGGUACAGGGUGAAGGCCAAGUAGAGGGCGCCGGGCACAGCCGCCAGCGCCACCUGGAAGGCCCAGAAGCGCAGCGGGGAGAGCGGCUGGAGGGCGUCGAAGCAGGCGGCCUUGCACAAGGGCUGCUGGGUGCUGCACUGGAAUUCGCUCUGCUCGUCGGCGAAGACCCCAGGCCCGCAGGCAGCCAGCAGCGCCACGCGGAAGCCCAGGAGCCCGGGCAGCAGGAGGCGCCCCACGGGGCUGGAGUGGCGGCUCUCCUCGGCCAGCAGCCGCCUCAGGAGGCGCCCGCUCAUCCUGGCCUGGGGCAGAGGGCGAGAGGACCGAGUGGUGGUGUGACUUCAGCGGGGGCCAGGGCUGCGGGCAGGACCGUGCUGCGUCCACCAGCAACGCUGUUCUCCCUCCCGUGCCCGGUGGGCUGCGGCCCUUUGUGCCCUGCAGUCCCCAAGGAAGAACUGCUGGGGAGACGCCCCUCCAGCCUGUUUCGGGGACCAGGACUCCCCACCAGGUCUGUGCCUGCGAGACAGGUCACCUCCCUUGGGAGACAGGUGGUCCGAGGCAUCCGCCCUGCUGACUGGUGAUGACAGAUCUGUCCCCAUCAACAGAGGAAAAAUGUCCCAUUAGAAUGGGACUGUCAAUAAAGAGAGCAUUCGUUUCCACAGAACCUCAGAGGAAGCAUAUCCCUGGAAACUUCUGUAAAAACAAAACCAAAAAAGCAAAACAUUUGGAAGAUAUCUGCUUAGGGUCUUCAAAAUGCAAUGAGGGGAAACGGACUUGGCCCAGUGGUUAGGGCGUCCAUCUACCACAUGGGAGGUCCGCGGUUCAAACCCCGGGCCUCCUUCACCCGUGUGGAGCUGGCCCAUGCGCAGUGCUGAUGCAUGCAAGGAGUGCCCUGCCACGCAGGGGUGUCCCCGCGUAGGGGAGCCCCACGCGCAAGGAGUGCGCCCGUAAGGAGAACCACCCAGCGCGAAAGAAAGUGCAGCCUGCCCAGGAAUGGCACCGCCCACACUUCCCAUGCCACUGAUGGCAACAGAAGCGGACAAAGAAACAUGACGCAGCAAAUAGACACAGAAAACAGACA
RNAcentral lists this long non-coding RNA (2534 nucleotides) under Dasypus novemcinctus (nine-banded armadillo). Its description in RNAcentral is "lncRNA (ENSDNOG00000051709.1)". The stretch from base 2229 to 2286 matches the Rfam family "tRNA", at positions 8 to 63 of the family's 71-position model. The record is from RNAcentral. Lineage: Eukaryota; Metazoa; Chordata; Mammalia; Cingulata; Dasypodidae.